RNAcentral lists this ribosomal RNA (253 nucleotides) under uncultured bacterium. Its description in RNAcentral is "partial 16S ribosomal RNA". It matches the Rfam family "Bacterial small subunit ribosomal RNA", at positions 524 to 776 of the family's 1533-position model. The record is from RNAcentral.
UACAGAGGGUGCGAGCGUUAAUCGGAAUUACUGGGCGUAAAGCGCGCGUAGGCGGCUUUGCAAGUCGGGUGUGAAAUCCCCAGGCUUAACCUGGGAACUGCAUUCGAGACUGCAUUGCUAGAGUAUGGGAGAGGGAAGUGGAAUUUCCGGUGUAGCGGUGAAAUGCGUAGAUAUCGUAAGGAAGACCAGUGGCGAAGGCGAGUCUCUGGACAGUUACUGACGCUGAGGCACGAAGGCCAGGGGAGCAAACGGG